GCUAGGCAUGGUGGCUCAUGUCUGUACUCCCAGCUACUUGGGAGGCUGAGGCAGGAGGAUCACUUGAGCCCAGGAGGUCAAGACUACAGUGAGCUGUGAUCACACCACUGCACUCCAGCCUGGGCGACAGAGUGAGACUCUGUCUCAA
This 148-nucleotide small RNA is filed under the name Pongo abelii (Sumatran orangutan). RNAcentral describes it as "Metazoan signal recognition particle RNA (ENSPPYG00000030342.1)". The record is from Rfam by way of RNAcentral. Lineage: Eukaryota; Metazoa; Chordata; Mammalia; Primates; Hominidae.